Megalobrama amblycephala (Wuchang bream) is the source of this 1351-nucleotide long non-coding RNA. RefSeq lists it as uncharacterized. NCBI's taxonomy places the organism in Eukaryota, Metazoa, Chordata, Actinopteri, Cypriniformes, Xenocyprididae. The transcript has 3 exons. The record is from RefSeq and is a predicted model, not a curated record.
UGGAAAGUCCUCACUAAGAUAGCAAAACAAACCUGUGUGUGUGUGUGUGUGUGUGUGUGUGUUUAGUCAUGGAUUGUGUGACCCUGUGAAUCGGGGUGAAUCAGCCCAGUCUCACUGUUUUUCUUCCUAGUUACUGUUGCCGCGUUACCCUCUAUAAUCACACAGGAUGGUACCUGACGACCGGCUCCAGACACACAGCGUGGUUUCCACGGACAUGACCUCUCGCUCAGCAGGGGUCAGGGGGGGGCUCGUAGUUCUUCCUCGGAGGCGCAAGCUGAGACACGCCAACAGCUGUUCAGUGUCCAGCAGAUGCACAGCUGUACUGUUCUUGGAAGAAAAGGAUAGCCAACACGGGUUGAAGACGUGCUAUUUUCUUAAACUCUUAAAACUCUUAAAAGUCUUAAACUUUUAAAGUCUUAAAAGAAAAUGCAUUCUGGGCAGACAACAACAGAAGGAACUGCAGUGGGGUGCGGAAGGAUGCACUUCUCGUGAUGAUGAAAGAAAAAGAGAUGCAAUCAGUCCAAUUCAUCCUGGAUCUAGAGACAGAGAAUGAGAGGGAAAACCUACAGAGACUAGUGGCACAAUGAAGAGAUAGCAGCUUUGAGAUUACAGAAAGAAACUGAGAUAACCUAAAUAUGAGCUUCUCCAGAGCCACAUCCGGGCUGAGACUGACCCACCACACACACUGUGGGUAGAAAAGAACGGCUGCUUGUGGGUUUGGUAACGGUACACGGCGCAUUACGAUCCUGAUUAUGUAGCCACAUGUUUACAAACACACAUACAGCGGCUCCAAAAAGUAUUUGGACACACAAGUCACACUUAUAAAUGUCAUUCAUUCAGUGACAAAGUCAAAGGAAGUGUAUUUAUUGUAAAUAAGGAUGCACAAACACACUUUACAAACAACAUGUGUGCAAGAUCAGCGUGAGAUCCGGAAGCAAAACGCCAUUGACUGCAGAGGUUCUAACAAAUAAAAAGCAAAAGCUGUCUGAAAUGACCACUUCUGGAUUUUGCAUGAACUCAUUUAUAUGCACAGGAGCGCAAUGUCGGCCUCCACGAUUUUGCUAAAGCAUUGCUUAAAAAUUGGGUUGUUGUUGCCAUUGUAUGAACUCAUUUGCUCAUCUGGAUGUUCAUUAAAUUAUUGUAUUUUUUCUUCCGCAGGAUAAAAAGGCAUAUGUGUUUGGAACGACUUGAGGGUGAGUACAAUCAGGGUUUGACAUUAAUAUCCGCAAACCCGCCAAAUGCAGGUGUAUUUCAGCAGGGGCAUGUGACACAGUCACUUGCCACCUUGGCGGGUUGAAUUUUAUAUAUAAUAUAUACAUUUUUCAUUUUUCGUUUUAUUUGUUCUGGAUGA